AGUGAGAGUGUGUCUCUCACACAGGGACACCUGGAGUCUACCUCCAGGUGUCUCUCACACAGGGACACCUGGAGUCUACCUCCAGGUGUCCCUGUGUGAGAGCGUGUCCCUCACACAGGGACACCUGGAGUCUACCUCCAGGUGUCCCUCACACAGGGACACCUGGAGGUAGACUCCAGCUGAAAGAUGAAGCAGGUAAAUAAAAAGAUGGAUGAUGAGGAACAACAUGAGAAGAACUCUUUAUGAGUGGAAAAAUCAUUUAUAAUCUUUUUGUUGAAAAUAUCUUGAUUCCUGACAGAUAAAUGAACAUAUUUUAUGCUUUUAAUAAUGUUUUAAAUCAACAUUAUAUAUUUCACACCAAAACCAUUCCUCUCACGCUCUUUGCUGUUUUGUGUUACUAAUACGUCACUCUGCUUGAUGCACAGAAACACUUCUGAAGAGUUUUUAUGUAAAAUGUUCACCUUCCUUUUUAUUACUGAACCAACAUGUCUGCACAAACUUUACUCCAUGCAGUAUUUCAAUGCUUUUAGUCUCUUUUUGCCUAACAGAACAUGUUGUUUAGAGUAAAACAUUAAGUUGUUUCAUUAAUCAUGUAGUUUGUGAGAUUUGACUUCACUAAAAGCUUUAGUGGUUUGUUUAAAGAUGUGAUCCACCUGGUUCUGACCCAGUCCACCUGUUGUCAGUGUGUCCUGUCUCACACUGAACCCUGGUGUCCAGAAAACCCACUACAACAGUUCGUCCUCUAACAGGGCAGACAACUUUAAACUGGUCUGAAGCCAGCAGGGUUACACUUUUACAACCAAAACAAUUAUUAAAACAAUGUUUUCAUGAGCUGUUUAGGAGGUUUACCAGAUAAAACUUCAGUCUGCAAGAUUAGUUUUCAUUUUUGCUUUUUUCAUUAUGUUUUAUUAUAUUCUCCCUAUCAGAACCUGCUGCUGUUCAUACCUGCAGUUGUUCUUCAUUCAUUCAUGUUCAAUAUUGUGUUUUUGCAGUGCAUCAAAAAAAAGACACAUUCAGUUUUUAUAAGGAUUAAACAAACAAACCUGUGGUGGAGAGGCCUUUAGUGGGUUUUAUCCAAGUCAGAUCUAAAGUUUUUGUCUGUUUUCACUUGUACUGCUUAACCACUAAUGAUUAAAUGAAUAAACACAAUCUGUUUCACA
Austrofundulus limnaeus is the source of this 1160-nucleotide long non-coding RNA. RefSeq lists it as uncharacterized. The record is from RefSeq and is a predicted model, not a curated record. Lineage: Eukaryota; Metazoa; Chordata; Actinopteri; Cyprinodontiformes; Rivulidae. The transcript has 2 exons.